GUUGUGACCUGGAGGGCACUAGGACCCAGAAAAUGGCCUCACACUAGGUGUGUAGUUGUUAUUGAUGGGGGACGCUAUUUAGUGAUCCAAUCUGCAGCCGUGCUCACUUUAAACACCGCUGUCGUCCAGCUUGUGUCAGGCCAAUCAAGCACACUUGUGGAGCUCCCUCGAGAUUCUGGCUGUGCGUUGAAACGUCGGGUUCAAAACGUAAGGUGUGUUUGUGCUGUUGCAAGCCCCCACCCGUCAGACAGGGUGGCGCGUGGAACGCGGAAGUGAACGUGAGCAGCUUUUAAUUCUUUUAACACAAUUUUAGCAUUUUAUAUUUUUAAUUAACAACUUUGUUUUAAUGUAAAUUGUGUUUUUAGAAAUUUGUGGCGUGAUUAAGGCCUACUGCCUGGAACUUUAAUGGGAGGAAAGUCAUGACUUGCUGGAAGUGUUUUCACUUGUAGGCUCUCUUCCUUAUGUUUUGAUGUGCUUUUUUUUAUUUAAAUAUGCACUGUAUCUGUUUCCAGGAUGAAUUGGUUGUGCUUUUAAUCUGCCACUAUUUUAUACCGCUACAUUUUUAUUUUUAUUGUAUUUGAUUGUGCCACUCUUUUAUUAGUUUUAAAUCAUUUUAUACCUGGGCCUUUCAGCACCAGUUUUACAAAGCAGCGGUUUUACAUGUAAUCCCUCAAGCUGUUCUUAAGUGUGUGGUUUUACUUGCAGUCUGCCCCUUUUUAUUUGUUGUGAUUUGUUUUAUUUGGGCCAGUUGCAUUUUAAGUGUGUUUUACAGUCUUGAGUUUUUACUGUUAAACUGCUGUCGGUUCUGUGCCUUCUGCCUGGCCGAAUAAAACUUUUAACUCUG
Oryzias melastigma (Indian medaka) is the source of this 844-nucleotide long non-coding RNA. RefSeq lists it as uncharacterized. NCBI's taxonomy places the organism in Eukaryota, Metazoa, Chordata, Actinopteri, Beloniformes, Adrianichthyidae. The record is from RefSeq and is a predicted model, not a curated record. The transcript is spliced from 2 exons.